RNAcentral lists this long non-coding RNA (211 nucleotides) under Prunus persica (peach). RNAcentral describes it as "long non-coding RNA (PPER_LNC000937)". Lineage: Eukaryota; Viridiplantae; Streptophyta; Magnoliopsida; Rosales; Rosaceae. The record is from RNAcentral.
UCAAGGUAGAUUUAAGGUUUUUGCGCGAUGAAAAAUAUUUUUCGUCACUCAAGGUAGAUUUACGCGACAUUAAGGUUUUUGCGCGAUGACAAAUAUUUUUCAUCGUGCAAACCCUUUAUUCACGAGGUUUGCGCGAUGGAUCAUGCGCGGCGAAAUUUUACUUUGCGCAACAAACUUAUUUCGUCGCGCAAAGUGUUUUUGGUAGUAGUGG